CCUACGGGAGGCAGCAGUGGGGAAUAUUGGGCAAUGGGCGCAAGCCUGACCCAGCAACGCCGCGUGAAGGAAGAAGGCUUUCGGGUUGUAAACUUCUUUUGUCAGGGACGAAGCAAGUGACGGUACCUGACGAAUAAGCCACGGCUAACUACGGUCCAGCAGCCGCGGUAAUACGGAGGUGGUAAGCGUUAUUCGGAUUUACUGGGUGUAAAGGGCGUGUAGGCGGGGAGGCAAGUCAGAUGUGAAAACCACGGGCUCAACCUGUGGCCUGCAUUUGAAAAUGUUUUUCUUGAGUGCUGGAGAGGCAAUCGGAAUUCCGGGUGUAGCAGUGAAAUGCGUAGAUAUACGGAGGAACACCAGUGGCGAAGGCGGAUUGCUGGACAGUAACUGACGCUGAGGCGCGAAAGCGUGGGGAGCGAACAGGAUUAGAUACCCCUGUAGUC
This 443-nucleotide ribosomal RNA is filed under the name uncultured bacterium. Its description in RNAcentral is "partial 16S ribosomal RNA". It matches the Rfam family "Bacterial small subunit ribosomal RNA", at positions 338 to 795 of the family's 1533-position model. The record is from RNAcentral.